UGAGGAAUAUUGGACAAUGGGCGCAAGCCUGAUCCAGCCAUGCCGCGUGCAGGAUGACGGUCCUAUGGAUUGUAAACUGCUUUUGUACAGGAAGAAACAGUUCUACGUGUAGAACCUUGACGGUACUGUAAGAAUAAGGAUCGACUAACUCCGUGCCAGCAGCCGCGGUAAUACGGAGGAUCCAAGCGUUAUCCGGAAUCAUUGGGUUUAAAGGGUCCGUAGGCGGUUAGAUAAGUCAGUGGUGAAAGCCCAUCGCUCAACGGUGGAACGGCCAUUGAUACUGUCUGACUUGAAUUAUUAGGAAGUAACUAGAAUAUGUAGUGUAGCGGUGAAAUGCUUAGAGAUUACAUGGAAUACCAAUUGCGAAGGCAGGUUACUACUAAUGGAUUGACGCUGAUGGACGAAAGCGUGGGUAGCGAACAGGAUUAGAUACCCACGUAGUCCCUGAGCGGGCUGGCAAGGCGCAU
This 467-nucleotide ribosomal RNA is filed under the name uncultured bacterium. RNAcentral's name for it is "bacterial SSU rRNA". It matches the Rfam family "Bacterial small subunit ribosomal RNA", at positions 355 to 825 of the family's 1533-position model. The record is from RNAcentral.